RNAcentral lists this long non-coding RNA (237 nucleotides) under Chrysolophus pictus (golden pheasant). RNAcentral's name for it is "lncRNA (ENSCPIG00010001186.1)". Lineage: Eukaryota; Metazoa; Chordata; Aves; Galliformes; Phasianidae. The record is from RNAcentral.
AUGUCAGAGGAAGCUGCUAGAACAGUCAGCAUUGCUGAGAGGCAGACCAUGCCUCUGGAGGAUGCUGUUCUGUGUUUGCUCUGGAGUGUGAGCACUUCGUACAGUCUGGUACCACAGCCCUGCACCAUGCCAAGUUGUCCUCCUGUCACCUGCUCUACACCUGGAGUUUGUAUGCAGAUCUAUGUGCUGAUCUUCUGCGAGUGCCUUCCCUAUGCCAAAGAAAGAACAUGUUUUUGA